RNAcentral lists this transfer RNA (84 nucleotides) under Gemmatimonadetes bacterium GWC2_71_9. RNAcentral's name for it is "tRNA-Tyr". It matches the Rfam family "tRNA". Rfam says of the family: Transfer RNA (tRNA) molecules are approximately 80 nucleotides in length. Their secondary structure includes four short double-helical elements and three loops (D, anti-codon, and T loops). The record is from RNAcentral. Lineage: Bacteria; Pseudomonadati; Gemmatimonadota.
GGUGGGGUGCCGGAGCGGUCAAUCGGAGCAGACUGUAAAUCUGCCGGCCACGCGCCUACGAAGGUUCGAAUCCUUCCCCCACCA